UCAUCUAUCCAAUACAGAAGGAAAAUAGAGUUGGGAGUGGACGACCUUGAGCUUGUCCAGCCACCUUCAUUGUGCUUCUCCAGUGCGUUCAUGUGUCAUAUUGCGAGCAUUCCUGUGCCGCGUGCAUGCUUUGGACUAUGUGUUGUCUAUUGUUAUGUAGUAUCUCCAGAUUUUCUAAACUAACUUGCUCAAUGACAGAAUUGUGUAUUGCACAGUACAUGUAUUACUACUAGGAAUGUUCAGAAAUCAGAACUCAAAGAAGUAUUGACAGCACAACUACUGUAUAUUCAAGGAGUCGGGUUUUGCUCCUGCAUCACCUCGUCUCCUCCGUUCGACAAAAGCAUCAGAUAAGUUCACACUAUGGUUUUGCUCUUUCGUAUAAUUCAUGAGUCCAUACUCCUUCGGUUUUUGUUCCAUAGAAAUUAAAGAAACCUGUAGAAGUUUGGGGUAUAAAAUUCUAUAAGUUCAAAACCGGGAAACUAGUAAGUUCAGACAAAAUUAAAACUGUCAAAGAACAUGAGAGUUUUUGUCAAAAAAGCGAGGCUUCCCCACGCCAGCACAAACUUUUUAAAUGGGUGGAUUUUGUCAAAGCAAAAACUGAAUGGGUGGCAAGAUGAAUGUAGUUGUUAUUAAAAGUUUCUUUUUCAACUUCUCCUCUUAAUAUACAUGAACUUGAUUAUAUUUUUAACCGGUUAAAUAUACAAGGUUGGCAAGAUGACUAUAGUUGUUAUAGCAAAAAAGUACCGUUUUCUUAAAAAAGUUUCUGUUUGAACUUCUCCAAUUAAUAUACAUGAACUCAAUUAUCUUUUUAACAUGUACUCACAUGAGCUCGUUUGGAUUUUUGUGUAUACUUGUAACACAAUCAGUUCAGAUCUCGAGAGACCGUAAGUUUAGUCGGCCUUGGCAUCACGAACGGGUUCAGUUCGAUCUCGCAUAGUGGGCAGGUCCCUGAUGGUGUGUCUGUCAGUUCUACUCGCACGAGUGGACGUCAGAUCGUGCAAGUGGGAAGGUCCCCGAUGUAUAUUCAGUUCAACAUCUGGUGCUUCUUCAGUUCAUCGUAGUGUGCAUUUUCACUUCAUCUUGCAGGUAUGAUCAUUCUCUGCCCUUGCUAAUGUAUUUUGUAGUAACUUUGUAAACAAAAGAGAUAGCACACUGGAACAAAACAGUAGUGAAGAAAGAUACCCUAUGUUAAUUUUGGUGACUCUAUUGUUCGUUCCAUCACUUGUAGAUGUAUGCCUGACCAUUUUUUCUCAAAUUUGGCAUUUGUUAAGUUGUGAGGCUACCCAUUCGGGUGCUUACUUGAAGGGGUAGCCACGGUGCUGAUACUAAAAAAAUGGAUGAGUAAUCACAAAGACCAUCAUGGAUGACGACAAGCCUACAGCUGCUAUGGUUUUAGUCAAGUGUUUCAGAAAUGCGCAGUACUACUUUGUAUCUGUCACUCUUUGUCAGGGGAAGUCAUACUAGUACUGAUGAAAUAUCAAGUUGACAUUGUGCUCGGCCAUAGGUCCGCAUUUUUUCUCUCCCUUCGGUUCAAGGAGAAGCAACAGCUGGCCUGCAGUGCCGCCAUCUGAAGACAGGGGAGAUGUCCGUAAUCCCCUUAUGGUAAUUAUGCAGGUGCGGAACCCCCCAAGCGCACGACAACCUCAUCCGUCCAAGUUGAGCACUGGGCGCUGUCCGAGUAGAGCAAUGCGCCCCGUCCAAGUUCCCAUCUAAUGUUGAACGUUCAAUUUUGUCAUGUUGAAUACUAUACCGCUGAGUGCUAUUGACAGUCAGUUAUUUCUUCCUUCCAUGCUGCACUUGGAGAGCUUAAUCUCCCAUUGGCAAAUUUAAUCUGUACCAGUAAGUACAUGAUUAAUAUUUUAGGAUAUGUGUGGUUCCAGUAAGUACAUGAGUACUAUUUAGCAUGUUUGGUUGCUUCUGAAACUGAAAAUGUCAGGGUGUACUGAUGCAUUUCAAAAUUGUUGUGUGUUUUCAGGGAAAACCAUUUGUCGGGUUUUUGGUGGCCAAGUGUUAUUGAUAUGGAGAUGAAUAACUAUGCGGAUGCACUCCUGCUGUUUUUGCAUCUCCUUCGCGACGACCUAUUUUGUGCCCAUGAACAAAUAGCAAAGCCCUCCUGUAGCCUGAGCUAUUCAUCGCCUUGUCUCAAUGGAUCAGAGUUCAUGGAAAAAAUGUUUGGCAUCCUGUAGUAGUUAUAGUCCUUAAGUUACAACAGUUUGAUCAUGAAAAAAACAUCAGUACAAAAAGUAUGGAGCUUCUAAUGUUGUAGUGAUUUCGUGUGACCACAAGGAUCCUUCCUGGAAGGUAGUUGGUGGGUUGUGUGCAUGCUCUACAUACAUCCAUGCUAGCCUAUCCUGCUGUGUGCGUGCGUCCUUCAUGUGUGUUCAUGUUCGUGCCGAUGUAGUGUGAAUGCAGGGCGAGCUGGACAAUGUGUCGUGUGUGUGUGUGUGUGGUGUGUGCUUGCCAUGAGAGUGCUGCUAAUUUCUAGUGUUGCUGUUUGUUUUCUCUACAAGGAAAAAUUAGCUGCUGCUGUCUGAAGUUUCAGGAAUUGAAGAAUUCUUUUGGCAAUUGAUGAAAAGCUAUGAUUUUGUGCUCCUGUUUUUUAUUAUGUCAAUGAGAAACCAAUACUUCUUUUCUUUAGGUUUCGUGUUUUAGUUGGUGAGGGUGUUUUAAUUGGUGAGGGAUAAACAAAUUUUCCUAUUCAAGUGGAAGCUCCCAGUAUAUGAUGGAUGUGGGAGUUAUUUUUACAUUCACUGUUCGGUGCUUCUCUUUAUGUAAUGUUUUAUGUUUUCAAGU
This is a long non-coding RNA of Triticum dicoccoides, 2793 nucleotides long. RefSeq lists it as uncharacterized. Lineage: Eukaryota; Viridiplantae; Streptophyta; Magnoliopsida; Poales; Poaceae. The transcript is spliced from 3 exons. The record is from RefSeq and is a predicted model, not a curated record.